CUAAUACGGGGUGUGGAUGACGGUACCAGCAUAAGAAGCACCGGCUAACUACGUGCCAGCAGCCGCGGUAAUACGUAGGGUGCGAGCGUUAAUCGGAAUUACUGGGCGUAAAGCGUGCGCAGGCGGUUUCGUAAGACAGAGGUGAAAUCCCCGGGCUCAACCUGGGAACUGCCUUUGUGACUGCGAGGCUAGAGUAUGGCAGAGGGGGGUGGAAUUCCACGUGUAGCAGUGAAAUGCGUAGAGAUGUGGAGGAACACCGAUGGCGAAGGCAGCCCCCUGGGCCAAUACUGACGCUCAUGCACGAAAGCGUGGGGAGCAAACAGGAUUAGAUACCCUGGUAGUCCACGCCCUAAACGAUGUCAACUAGGUGUUGGGAGGGUUAAACCUUUUAGUACCGUAGCUAACGCGUGAAGUUGACCGCCUGGGGAGUACGGCCGCAAGGUUAAAACUCAAAGGAAUUGACGGGGACCCGCACAAGCGGUGGAUGAUGUGGAU
Molecule: ribosomal RNA, 495 nt
Filed under: uncultured bacterium
Lineage: Bacteria
Description: bacterial SSU rRNA
Rfam family: Bacterial small subunit ribosomal RNA
Source: RNAcentral